CAGCCGCCGCGGGAAUACGAAGGGUGCAAGCGUUACUCGGAAUUACUGGGCGUAAAGCGUGCGUAGGUGGUGGUUUAAGUCCGUUGUGAAAGCCCUGGGCUCAACCUGGGAAUUGCAGUGGAUACUGGAUCACUAGAGUGUGGUAGAGGAUAGUGGAAUUUCCGGUGUAGCAGUGAAAUGCGUAGAGAUCGGAAGGAACAUCUGUGGCGAAGGCGACUAUCUGGGCCAACACUGACACUGAGGCACGAGAGCGUGGGGAGCAAACAGGAUUAGAUACCCGUGUAGUCCCUGUCUCUUAUAC
Molecule: ribosomal RNA, 301 nt
Filed under: uncultured bacterium
Lineage: Bacteria
Description: partial 16S ribosomal RNA
Rfam family: Bacterial small subunit ribosomal RNA
Source: RNAcentral